Molecule: transfer RNA, 66 nt
Filed under: Cricetulus griseus (Chinese hamster)
Lineage: Eukaryota; Metazoa; Chordata; Mammalia; Rodentia; Cricetidae
Rfam family: tRNA
About the family: Transfer RNA (tRNA) molecules are approximately 80 nucleotides in length. Their secondary structure includes four short double-helical elements and three loops (D, anti-codon, and T loops). Further hydrogen bonds mediate the characteristic L-shaped molecular structure. tRNAs have two regions of fundamental functional importance: the anti-codon, which is responsible for specific mRNA codon recognition, and the 3' end, to which the tRNAs corresponding amino acid is attached (by aminoacyl-tRNA synthetases). tRNAs cope with the degeneracy of the genetic code in two manners: having more than one tRNA (with a specific anti-codon) for a particular amino acid; and 'wobble' base-pairing, i.e. permitting non-standard base-pairing at the 3rd anti-codon position.
Source: Rfam by way of RNAcentral
GGUGUGGCCUAGUGGUAGGGUACUUGCCUGACAUGAAAGAGAUGUCUGGGUUCAAUUCCCAGUACC